RNAcentral lists this ribosomal RNA (453 nucleotides) under uncultured Porphyromonadaceae bacterium. RNAcentral describes it as "partial 16S ribosomal RNA". It matches the Rfam family "Bacterial small subunit ribosomal RNA", at positions 341 to 792 of the family's 1533-position model. Lineage: Bacteria; Pseudomonadati; Bacteroidota; Bacteroidia; Bacteroidales; Porphyromonadaceae. The record is from RNAcentral.
ACGGGAGGCAGCAGUGAGGAAUAUUGGUCAAUGGGCGGAAGCCUGAACCAGCCAAGUCGCGUGAAGGAUGAAGGUAUUAUGUAUUGUAAACUUCUUUAGCUGUGGAGCAAUAAUCGCCCUGUAUGGCGAGAUGAGAGUACACAGAGAAUAAGGAUCGGCUAACUCCGUGCCAGCAGCCGCGGUAAUACGGAGGAUCCGAGCGUUAUCCGGAUUUAUUGGGUUUAAAGGGUGCGCAGGCGGCUUUCUAAGUCAGUGGUUAAAGAGCGGGGCUCAACGCCGUCCCGCCAUUGGUACUGGAGGGCUUGAUUGCGGUCGGGGUUUGCGGAAUUCGACGUGUAGCGGUGAAAUGCAUAGAUAUGACGAAGAACACCGAUUGCGUAGGCAGCAGACCAGUCCGUAAAUGACGCUCAUGCACGAAAGUGCGGGGAUCGAACAGGAUUAGAUACCCUGGUA